AUGCCUUGGAAGUACAAAGGAUUUUGCGGAUGUCAUGUAAAAAAUGAAGUUUGUAGAGUUCAGUUAGUGAGGAAAGAAAGAAGAAAUUGUUAUAUCCUUGACCGUAUCUCUGGAUUUUUAUAUUGGCAGACAGUGUACAUUAAACAAUCAAGCACUUCAAUGUUAGAAUCAGAAAGGCUUAAUGGAAGAUAUCAAGCAAUACACGCAGGAAUAUAUACCAUAUAUUGGCCUUGUCAUGGUACUACCAAUGGGCAUGCUGAGCGUUGUCGUGCUGGUUGCUGCUGCACGACGGUGGGGAUGGAGCCAGUGUCACUGAUGAGGCUGGGGAGCGUGUUCCUGGUGCUCAAGUCUGACACCCUGGCCUUGAGCUGCUCAAUCUCAUACACCGCCUCCUCCAGCAGCAGCGUCGGCGCAACGCUGCCAAAGACGGGGCCAUGCGCCAGCAGCACCAUCUGA
Molecule: ribosomal RNA, 456 nt
Filed under: Triticum aestivum (bread wheat)
Lineage: Eukaryota; Viridiplantae; Streptophyta; Magnoliopsida; Poales; Poaceae
Description: partial small subunit ribosomal RNA
Source: RNAcentral